UCGCCAGGGAACUACGAGCUUCCCUUAAAACCCAAAGGACUUGACGGUGUCUCACCCCCCUAGAGGAGCCUGUUCUAUAAUCGAUACUCCACGAUACACCUUACCAUUCCUUGCAUGCUCAGUUUGUAUAUCUCCGUCAUAAGCUCACCAUGUGAACGCUACUAGUGAGCCAAAAGAUCCACCCCACCCACACGUCAGGUCAAGAUGCAACUAAUGGAAUGGACAGCAAUGGGCUACAAUUUCUACGAUAGAACAUACCAAAACUAAAUGAAACACUAACAUAAGGUGGAUUUAGAAGUAAAAAGAAAUCAAAAAGUUCUUUUUAACCUCACCCUGAGACGCGUACACACCGCCCGUCACCCUCCUCAACUUCCCUAGAAGAGGCAAGUCGUAACACGGUAAGUGUACUGGAAAGUGCACUUGGACAGCAAAAUGUAACUUAAUAAAAGUAUCUCGCUUACACUGAGAUGGAUGUCAAUUAACCUUAACCAUUUUGAGCCUUAACCUAAGCCCCCCCCCACCCACACUUCUAAUAAAUAAUAAAACAUUCUAUUAUUUAGUAACGGCGAUUAAAAAAU
This 578-nucleotide ribosomal RNA is filed under the name Stumpffia maledicta. RNAcentral's name for it is "partial 12S ribosomal RNA". Lineage: Eukaryota; Metazoa; Chordata; Amphibia; Anura; Microhylidae. The record is from RNAcentral.